UUUAAAUAGUUUAAGGAAAACAUUAACUUGUGGAGUUAAAAUUAUAAAGGAUUAUUUUAAAUAA
Molecule: transfer RNA, 64 nt
Filed under: Coleoptera sp. ACP-2013
Lineage: Eukaryota; Metazoa; Arthropoda; Insecta; Coleoptera
Description: tRNA-His
Source: RNAcentral